Molecule: microRNA precursor, 101 nt
Organism: Aotus nancymaae (Ma's night monkey)
Lineage: Eukaryota; Metazoa; Chordata; Mammalia; Primates; Aotidae
Source: Ensembl
GAGGUGGGGGGCAUUGCUUGAGCCUGGGAGCUCAAGGUUGCAGUGAGCCAUGAUCAUACCACUGCACUCCAGCCUGAGUGACACAGCAAGACCUUGUCUCA